AAACUUGAGAGUUUGAUCCUGGAACAGAACGAACGCUGGCGGAAUGGAUUAGCCAUUCAAUUCGAACGAAGUAGCAAUACUUAGUGGCGCAAGGGUGAGGAACGCGUGAGUGACCUACCCGCAAGUUUGGAACAGCUCCUGGAAACGGGAAUUAAUACUGGAUGUGAUCAUGAAGCUGCAUGGUUUCAUGAUUAAAGCAGCAAUGCGCUUGCGGAUGGGCUCGCGUCCCAUUAGCUAGUUGGUGAGUUAACGUACCACCAAGGCCAUGAUGGGUAGCUGGUCUGAUAGGACGACCAGCCACACAGGGACUGAGAACUGCCCAGUCUCAUACGG
Molecule: ribosomal RNA, 333 nt
Filed under: Clostridia bacterium
Lineage: Bacteria; Bacillati; Bacillota; Clostridia
Description: bacterial SSU rRNA
Rfam family: Bacterial small subunit ribosomal RNA
Source: RNAcentral